This 193-nucleotide ribosomal RNA is filed under the name uncultured bacterium. RNAcentral describes it as "partial 16S ribosomal RNA". It matches the Rfam family "Bacterial small subunit ribosomal RNA", at positions 338 to 524 of the family's 1533-position model. The record is from RNAcentral.
CCUACGGGAGGCAGCAGUGGGGAAUCUUGCGCAAUGGGGGAAACCCUGACGCAGCAACGCCGCGUGGAGGAUGAAGGUCUUCGGAUUGUAAACUCCUGUCAGAGGGGACGAAUGUUCACGGGCUAAUCACCGUGAGCUUGACGGUACCCUCAGAGGAAGCCACGGCUAACUCUGUGCCAGCAGCCGCGGUAAU